This 801-nucleotide ribosomal RNA is filed under the name Escherichia coli. RNAcentral describes it as "partial 23S ribosomal RNA". It matches the Rfam family "Bacterial large subunit ribosomal RNA", at positions 410 to 1212 of the family's 2925-position model. Lineage: Bacteria; Pseudomonadati; Pseudomonadota; Gammaproteobacteria; Enterobacterales; Enterobacteriaceae. The record is from RNAcentral.
GAGUAGGGCGGGACACGUGGUAUCCUGUCUGAAUAUGGGGGGACCAUCCUCCAAGGCUAAAUACUCCUGACUGACCGAUAGUGAACCAGUACCGUGAGGGAAAGGCGAAAAGAACCCCGGCGAGGGGAGUGAAAAAGAACCUGAAACCGUGUACGUACAAGCAGUGGGAGCACGCUUAGGCGUGUGACUGCGUACCUUUUGUAUAAUGGGUCAGCGACUUAUAUUCUGUAGCAAGGUUAACCGAAUAGGGGAGCCGAAGGGAAACCGAGUCUUAACUGGGCGUUAAGUUGCAGGGUAUAGACCCGAAACCCGGUGAUCUAGCCAUGGGCAGGUUGAAGGUUGGGUAACACUAACUGGAGGACCGAACCGACUAAUGUUGAAAAAUUAGCGGAUGACUUGUGGCUGGGGGUGAAAGGCCAAUCAAACCGGGAGAUAGCUGGUUCUCCCCGAAAGCUAUUUAGGUAGCGCCUCGUGAAUUCAUCUCCGGGGGUAGAGCACUGUUUCGGCAAGGGGGUCAUCCCGACUUACCAACCCGAUGCAAACUGCGAAUACCGGAGAAUGUUAUCACGGGAGACACACGGCGGGUGCUAACGUCCGUCGUGAAGAGGGAAACAACCCAGACCGCCAGCUAAGGUCCCAAAGUCAUGGUUAAGUGGGAAACGAUGUGGGAAGGCCCAGACAGCCAGGAUGUUGGCUUAGAAGCAGCCAUCAUUUAAAGAAAGCGUAAUAGCUCACUGGUCGAGUCGGCCUGCGCGGAAGAUGUAACGGGGCUAAACCAUGCACCGAAGCUGCGGCAGCGAC